UACGGGGGGGGCAAGCGUUGUUCGGAAUUACUGGGCGUAAAGGGCUCGUAGGUGGCCAACUAAGUCAGACGUGAAAUCCCUCGGCUUAACCGGGGAACUGCAUCUGAUACUGGAUGGCUUGAGUUUGGGAGAGGGAUGCGGAAUUCCAGGUGUAGCGGUGAAAUGCGUAGAUAUCUGGAGGAAUACCGGUGGCGAAGGCGGCAUCCUGGACCGAGAUUGACACUGAUGAGCGAAAGCCAGGGGAGCAAACGGG
This 253-nucleotide ribosomal RNA is filed under the name uncultured bacterium. Its description in RNAcentral is "partial 16S ribosomal RNA". It matches the Rfam family "Bacterial small subunit ribosomal RNA", at positions 524 to 776 of the family's 1533-position model. The record is from RNAcentral.